UGCAGCCCAGAAGCAGACUUGGGCUCGGCCUUGGAGGAGCAAAAGCAGGAGCUGCCGGUCUUGGACUGGGACUUGGAGCCAAGCCUGGCAAGUUUGGAGGUCGCUUCCCUGGAUAUGGUGCACGAGGCUACCCUCAGCAGGGUUUGGGU
Molecule: long non-coding RNA, 149 nt
Organism: Erpetoichthys calabaricus (reedfish)
Lineage: Eukaryota; Metazoa; Chordata; Cladistia; Polypteriformes; Polypteridae
Exons: 3
Source: RefSeq, a predicted model, not a curated record